Molecule: ribosomal RNA, 463 nt
Filed under: uncultured bacterium
Lineage: Bacteria
Description: partial 16S ribosomal RNA
Rfam family: Bacterial small subunit ribosomal RNA
Source: RNAcentral
GACGAACGCUGGCGGCGUGCUUAACACAUGCAAGUCGAGCGGAAAGGCCACUUCGGUGGUACUCGAGCGGCGAACGGGUGAGUAACACGUGAGUAAUCUGCCCCUCACUUUGGGAUAGCCACCGGAAACGGUGAUUAAUACCGGAUAUGACCAUAUGUCGCAUGGCGUGUGGUGGAAAGUUUUUCGGUGAGGGAUGUGCUCGCGGCCUAUCAGCUUGAUGGUGAGGUAAUGGCUCACCAUGGCUUCGACGGGUAGCCGGCCUGAGAGGGUGACCGGUCACACUGGGACUGAGACACGGCCCAGACUCCUACGGGAGGCAGCAGUGGGGAAUAUUGGACAAUGGGCGGAAGCCUGAUCCAGCAACGCCGCGUGAGGGAUGACGGCCUUCGGGUUGUAAACCUCUUUCAGUACCGACGAAGCGCAAGUGGCGGUAGGUACAGAAGAAGCACCGGCCAACUACGUG